AGGAUGAAGCUGAGGAGAGUCUGGUGAGGGUCGAUGAUGAUGAGCUCCUGAAGAACAAGCGCCUGGAGAAGAAAUGCAGACUGAAAGAGCGAUUUAAUGCAGAAUACGAUGAUGAAGACGCAACUUACUUUGAUGACCUGAGGGAGGAGCUGCAGAAACAGGCUGAGGUAUCAUCACUUCAGCUGAACAGGGCAGAGUUUGAGUAUGUGGACGAUGAGUGCAGUACGAAGGCUUCAGGCCAGGAAUGUAAAUCAGAUUAGAAAUCUCCUCCCUCCCCCGUGAAAUUGUCAACAACUUCGAUCCCCAUUACCCCAUCAUCCUCGGAGGUCUGGGCUUCAGUGAAGGCAACAUAGGAUACCUGCAGUUGCAACUAAAGAAACAAAGCUGGUAUAAGCGCUUCCUGAAGACACGGGACCCCCUCAUCCUGUCCCUGGUCUGGAGGCGCUUCCAGACCAUCCCCCUCUACCACAUUGAAGAUCACAACGGAUGCAACCGCCUGCUCAAAUACACACCGGAGCACAUGCACUGUGGAGCCUCCAUCUGGGGUCCCAUCACACCACAGAGCACCGGUUUCCUCGCUCCGCAGACAGUAGCAGGAGUUAAAGUAAGUCACUAAAUCACUUGGUACAGUUCAAAUAUUAGAGAAUAACCUCAUUUAAAUUACAGUUGUAACACACGUGAGAACAUUGCCACCUUC
Molecule: long non-coding RNA, 697 nt
Organism: Platichthys flesus (European flounder)
Lineage: Eukaryota; Metazoa; Chordata; Actinopteri; Pleuronectiformes; Pleuronectidae
Exons: 4
Source: RefSeq, a predicted model, not a curated record